This 24-nucleotide non-coding RNA is filed under the name Arabidopsis thaliana (thale cress). Lineage: Eukaryota; Viridiplantae; Streptophyta; Magnoliopsida; Brassicales; Brassicaceae. The record is from RNAcentral.
AUUUUGUGGUUUGGUGGGAAAAUA